Molecule: small nuclear RNA, 107 nt
Organism: Saimiri boliviensis boliviensis (Bolivian squirrel monkey)
Lineage: Eukaryota; Metazoa; Chordata; Mammalia; Primates; Cebidae
Source: RefSeq, a predicted model, not a curated record
GUGCUCACUUCAGCAGCACAUAUACUAAAACUGGAACAACACAGAGAAGAUUAGCAUGGCUCCUGCACAAAGAUGACAUGCAAGUUCGUGAAGCAUUUCAUAUUUAU